Molecule: microRNA, 22 nt
Filed under: Pteropus alecto (black flying fox)
Lineage: Eukaryota; Metazoa; Chordata; Mammalia; Chiroptera; Pteropodidae
Description: pal-miR-10017-3p
Source: miRBase by way of RNAcentral
UGACUUGAGGGCAAAGACUGGG